Long non-coding RNA from Salarias fasciatus (jewelled blenny), 850 nucleotides. RefSeq lists it as uncharacterized. The transcript has 3 exons. The record is from RefSeq and is a predicted model, not a curated record. Lineage: Eukaryota; Metazoa; Chordata; Actinopteri; Blenniiformes; Blenniidae.
UGCCAGGGGUAUUUUUUUUUUCCACCACACACAAAUCCUUCACGUGUAGCCAUUGUAACCCCGGUUAUUUUCAGUAGUUUAGAACAUUCCGACGCUCCUGAACGCACCAUCCGGUGGCAGCAGAGACUCACGAUGAUUAAAAAGAAAAGUGCUGCUGCUCUGAAUGUGCGUCUGUUCCAGUGGAAGCUCCGACCCAGAGCAGCUCUUUCUUCUGCAGCACCUGUGAACUUCAGCUGUGAGGACUGGAGGUCCUACAGGUCCAGAGUUCUAGGCUACAAGCUUGGACAUGGCAGGCAGCCACACUGCUGAGCCUCUCCUGGGACAUCGUGGAGCAGAGCCUCGUCUUCAGACGCCGUAGAGCCUGAGGCGUCUCUCUGCUUCACAAGAGAACACUGGACCACCAGCAGGAGCCGGACCAGGGUCUGACCAGGGUCUCCACUGGGACCUCCAGCACCAGGGUCUCCUGAUUAGAUAAAUACACACUGCACUUCCGUUGUAACUAGUAAUCUGUAACCUGGUAGAUAACCUCACUAACUGUGAUUUUAUUCUUUCUUUGUACAGACGUUGCCUCUUCAGUCACCUGUUCUGCAGCUCUGUGUUUAUUUCUGUUGAUCUCUGCUCCUGGACAAAUAAAAUAAUGGAAAACCCUCCUGAGACUGAUGGUUCUCUGUGUCUGACACACCCUGGAUGUUCAGUAGUGUUUGUUCUUGUGUCGAUGGUUCAGUUAAUAUUUUGAUAUAUUUCUUUAAUGGUUCUGGAGCAUCUUUACCAGGACGAACACAUGUCAGUGUGUGUGGAGUUGGUACAUUCGCUUGAUCAGUCUAAAGCUAUCUGAGGACGUCUGAUGGUG